GGCGGGGGCUGCGGAGGAGACGCCUCCCGGGCUGCCCAACCCGGCUCCGCGGGGCCGGCGGGGGCGCGGCGCCCGGCCCGGGCAGAGGGAGCCGGCGCGGGUAGGCGGGAAGCGCCGCGCCGGGCUACGGCGGGGGGCGCGGGCGGCACCGGGGCCACCGCGCCCGCCGGGGCGAGGCCGCAGCCCCUCCCCGCCCGCGGCGUCCCCGCCUCCCCGCCCGCCCGGGGCCGGGGCCGCGGGUCCCGGGGCCGCCGAGCGCGGAGCCCCCUUGGCUCGGAGGCGCGGCCGGGGCACCGCGACUCCCCGCGGAGCCCCACCCGCCGCCCGUCCGGCUCUUCGCCUCACUUCUGGCAGCACAAGACGUGUCGGCCGGCCCCGGCCCCGCCCCGUUCUCCUCCUCCUCGACAGGGCUGAGGAUGCCAAGUGCUGCACGUUGUAGGGCUGUUUGCACUCGCAGUUGCACGGCACGGUUGCAAAAAGGCGCGGCAGCGUGCGCGUGUUAGGGGAAAAGGGAAAAAAACAAAACGCAGCGAUCUUCAUGUGCAAAACUUCGUUUUCUGAAACAGGAACCAAAAUCUGGCCAGUCAGCAGUCAGUUCUCGAUCAAAAUCUUGGUGACCUCUCUCUUUGCCCUGUUUUUCUCUCCCUUAAAAAAAAUAAGUAAAAGAACCAUUUUGUAUAUGCAAGAACAUAUUUAUGAAAGUGGCCAAUAAAUUCUCAGAAAAUUUCUGUCCUUAAGGCUAAAAUCCUGUAGGGAAAGAGAUAGAACAUAAUCAUAUAAUUACAUAAUUAAAGCCUUUACCAUAAUGCCCAUUCUCGUGGGUAAAGGUUGCACGUUAUGUGCAACAUUUCAAGUAGUACGAGGAGACUGGAGUAAUUACAGUUGUUGACAUUAUGUUGCAAAACAUGUACAAAAGUAACUGUUGUUAUCACGUGAUCCUUUUUUUAAACUUUAUUGCAUGUACUUUCUUUUGCAAGAGCUUUAUGAAUAGGGCUGUCACAGACGUGUUAGGAAUUGAAACUGCCUGUGUAUGGAAAGGAGGAGAGAGAACUUGGGUUGUAGUUGGAGAUAUUCCAGUUUACUGAGCUGCUAGUGGAGGAGGGAAGGACUUGAUAGGAUCCCUUAGCUAGAAUUAGCCACAAUGAACAAAAAAGUUUUAAGAAGUAGCACGGCACCCCCCAAAAAAAGCUGCAGCAUGAGUGGCAGUACCUAUUACACAUCAAAGAAUCCAUCCACAGAGGACUGCCACCUCGAAGGAUAAAUUCAUGGAAAUCAGGUUUCUUUGGCUCCAUUGUUCAUGAAUCUGUUUGCUUUUAUGUGAGACAUGUUAUUCCGUGUUUUAAACUAUAAUCAUUAAACCGGAAGAGAGAGACCCGGAGAUGUAACUUUUUAUCAUUCCUUCUUUCCCUAGGAUAUUAUUGUUUUAACUUGUGUGUCAUCUGCUUCCACUGCAAGCUCUUCAGAUGCAGGAGAGAAUACUUUGUCUCGUGUUUGUAUAGCAGCCAGGUCGCUACAGUCUCCGGGCAGAUUGUGGCACCGUGGUCGGAAGGAGCACUCCCGGUGACACAGAGCACAGCACGUUGUAACUACAGCAAUAGACUCAACCGCAAAAGAUCUCUAUCAGGCAUCACAGAGAAUUUGAGGCAGCUGGCAGUUAUCAGCUGAAGCAGGUAGUCAGUAGAAGUGUAGAAGAUAAAUAGAUAAUAGAAAAGCAAUCUGGAAACCUGGGAGAGAUAAUAAGCCUCUCUUCUAGAGGGGAGGUAACAACUCAGGUAGGUCACUGUUGAACUCAACUCCCAGACCAGUGCUGCGUCUAAUACUGCUGAAAAUACAGGAGCAGUUUGUGCCUGUCAGCUCUGAAGUAGUAUUCAAGAUGUUGUCGGAAAUGCAGUUUGACAUAUUCAGUUAUAGAAAUCACUAUUGCAGUAAAGCGAAGAAGGAUCAUACUGCUGAAAGACAGCUGACCAAAAUCUCAGGGACAUCAUGACCCUCUAUUAAAUUACAGCUGCCAGAACAGAAAACUAGUUACGCCCCCUUCUUAUCCUGCGUGCUGCUGUCUAUACUGCUGGUGCAACCGUUACAUAAUAUUCCUGCCAUACUGACCAUGGUCCUCUGUGGGGCACAUGAUUUCUUCUUUGUGUAAUUUCUACUUGUCUUAAAAUAACUGAACCAUUCUGUUUUCCCUACCGUGAGCACAGAAAAGAGAGGGAAAGGCCCAUGUCUAUAAGUGAAGAAUUGUGUUGUUCUUGGUAGCUGUAUAUUAAAACAGUCCUACAAAACAUCUUUCUCUUCAAGUCACUCUUAUAAUUCUCAAAUUCCUGUCCAUGUAAAGUGUGAAAUCUUGCAUGAACAUGCAAGGAAGCUGAUACCAUUUGAUAACUGUUCUUGCUGGGUUCUGAGAUGUUGUAGGACUGUAUUGGUGGUAGGGAGAUAGCAUCAGGAGAUAUUUCUGUGAGAGUGGGCGCAGAAAAGAAGUCUGUCAGUGGCAUCUUUCUACCAAAAAAGUGCUAGAGUUACUCCACUGACAUCUGUCUUUAUUUUGUUAACCCACUCAGGUGGACCAUACAAAGUAGCUGAUGUUAGUGAAAUGUGAAUUCUUGUGGAGCUGAACAACAAAUAAAGAAAAAAAAAACUUCUGCUGCUCAAUUUGCUUUGAAAGGUGCUUUAAAAAAAUCUCUCUGACCACAGAAGUUAUAAAUUGCUCUGUGGAUUUACACUGAAAGAGCGCAAACCAAGACACAUGCAUCAAAUAUUUUUAAAGUAUUAACUACGCUUAUUAAAGAAAGUCCUAAUCAGGAAAGUAACAUAUUGUGUUCACAAAACCCAUUAACAAAAUGUAGAUGUGCCCACGUUGUUGGUUGUGUUAGAUAAUGUGUAUCCUUUGAACAAUCUUCUCUGUAAUUCUUAAAAAGUAUCUGAGGUACAUGUUUUAAUUUUUUAUAUAUUGUUAUAAUCGUUGUUUUAUUAUGCCACUGGACAUGAAUUAAUUGUGUGCAUCUGUAAAUUCUGACUGUAAGUAGUGACUUCUGAGGGUGUUUUUCCUUUCAUACCUCAUUCUAUCACUGCUAAAAUAAGAAAAGGCCAAAAUUUCAAAGCUUACACACAUCAGAAGUUUAAAAUUACUUUAUGCUAGUUUUUCCAUUGUGCCAGUAUAAUCCUAAUGACAGACUUUGACCCAGUCAAGAUCCACUUUCUACAUCAGAUUCUCAGUUCAGAUGUUAUACAACUGCAAAUUACUACCAUUGUGAUAUAAGCUACACCUAACUUCAUUACAUUACGUAUCUUUUUAGGUAGCAGGAGAAUUUUCUUUUUGACUGACGUAUUUUUAUUUGCUUUUAAAAGAAUGAAAGAGAAAUAACAAAAAAAAAAAAGAUAAAAUUCUAGAAUGCUCCUAAAUAUUUAUUGUAUAAGAUUCCUGUAUAUCAGUAAUUAUCAGCUAACAAGAUAUUGACAAUAUGUUGUCCUAAACAGUGCAAACAAUAUAUAGGGAAUAUACGGAGCAAGAAGUAAGGGUGCGUCUCUCCCAGGGAAGCAUCCUUAGCGUUAGGACAGAAGAAGGUCCCUUUUCACUUUUUUCUCUCUCCCAUGGGUCCUAUGAAUGUUUCAAUAUUUUUCUACACUGUGAUCCAGAUUCAAAGGAAAAGUGGAGAAUAAAUAGCUCAACUCAGUCUCUGGCCACAUAACUCUCUGAGAUUUGGAUACUCCCAUAAGGCGUGUGAACAGAGGGAGGUCUCUUUCUGGUCAAGUUCCCUAACUGUGCAAACAGGAGGCAUCCUUCAUUACCUGGCUGUACUCAAAAGUUAAUGCAGUGCUCUGAAUCUCAGGGGAUGAAGGUGUCCUGUGUAGGUACAUGAGCAGAUAACUGUUCAGAAAAACAUCGUGGUUGAGCAUUCCCAAAGAUACUUGCUGUACUGCCAGUGGAAGGGGUAAGUCUUCCUCUUUAAGGUUUCUGAAUUUCCUCAUAGAGACACUUAACCCACUGACUGGGAUACCUACGGGACUAAAUUAGAAUCAUCCUGACAGACAGAUGUUACAACACCAGCAGAUAUACUAGUCUGAAUACAACCCUUAAAAGUAGAUUGGUUUGCAGAAACCUUAAGAAUCAAUGAGCAUACUCUGAUGGGAUCACAUUCUUCACUUAAGGUAACAUGAAAACCCAACUCCUGAGUUGGUCUACAGGUCAUGAAUAUCGUGAGCAUAUUGAAUGCGCAAUUCAUUUCAUAUGAGUAUGAAUGAACACGUAACAACAUCAUUUGUUAUUCAUUGUUUUGAAAGUACUGGACCAUAUAAUCAAAAUCAUACAUGAAGAGCUUUUGCUUCUUGUCUUUACAUCUUAUUAAAAUUACGGUUUACUUUGCAACUCUCCUCUGGGAUAGCCACAUUUUCCCAAAGUGGGUAAAACAUAAGAAAAAGAAGUGUGUUUGGAUUACUAGUGCUUUGCAUUCUUCAAAACUAAAAAUCCUCAGUACAUCAUGUAUUUACUUUCUUUACUGAGUAGGUCAAAAACGUAGUUUUGCAAGAUAAAGGUAUUAUAAAAUAUUUCAGAUGUAGCGAUAUGUUUAAGUUUGGGGGCUGCAUGUCCAACAGGUCCUUCUCCCAACACACAAUUCAACACAGGGAGACUUUUGAAGAAGAAACUACAUGUGGUUCUUCUUCACCUCUUUAUAUGUGUGGUUCUACAGGGAAGUACAAGGAAGCAGAAGUCAACUCUCUUUUUGGAGAAGGCCUCAGACUGCGAAUCCAAACCCUAUUUUCCCCAACAGAUAUGUGGCAUGACAGCCAUGUGUUUGCAGGUGUUCACAUACAUGCUCCGACUUCUUUUUGGUGACUUUCUUAUUCUGUAACAAAUAGGCCUGCUGGAACUUCUGCUGGUGCCCUGGGAUCACACUAUUUUGUUUUGGUUAUUCCCCAAAAUCAAUAAUAAAAAAUGUUUUUCUUCAUGUUUC
Non-coding RNA from Phalacrocorax carbo (great cormorant), 4946 nucleotides. NCBI's taxonomy places the organism in Eukaryota, Metazoa, Chordata, Aves, Suliformes, Phalacrocoracidae. The record is from RefSeq and is a predicted model, not a curated record.